CACUGGGUCAACCAAUAUUUGAGGACCUAUGAUGUGCCAGAGCCUGAGCGUGGCCUUGGAGAAGGAUUUGGUUCUAUCAGUCAUCGGGUCCUAGGAUCAAUACCCAAAUCAGGCACCUUGCUCAGCGGGAGGUGGUUGGUGUUCUUACAUAUUGGUUCAGGGAUUCAUGCGACCACAGCGGAAGCUUCUACUCCUCUAAAAACCGACAACUGGAAAUGGCAGAGUGUCAUGUCCACUGGGAUAUAAUUGGUUCCUCCGGAGGCAGUCUUCAAGCCAAGAAUUGAGCAUAAGUGGUUUGCUAAUACCCAGCCCCAGAAGAAGAAACCAGUAAGGGAGUAGAAGAAGCAGACUGAAGAGAAGGAAGAACCUAAGAGAGAUUGUUUAUUUACGAAGGAUAAUGCGGCCUCCUGUAUCAUCUCAGUUCCCACAGUAAAAAAUAAUCAUGCUGCUCUGUGAAAAACUGGACAGUUGCUGAAUAUAGAAAGAGGCCCAGUAGGCUACACUUGUAACAUGUCUAUUAAAAAUCUAUAAAUGGCUCUUGAGGAAAAAAAAGUUCUGGGCAGAAGUUCUUAACUGUUCUUAUGCCAUCGACCCCUUUGAAGGUCUGGUGAAGACUGUAAUCCUUUCUGAGAAUAACACUUCUAUAUGCGUAAAAGUAAGAUUACAGUGGUAACCACUUACAUUGAAACACAGCUAUUGAAAUAGUAAAAAGAAAAUUCUGAUAUAGAAAUAGAGGUGUUUAUUAACAAGUUAAGGGAAAAAUCUAAUGGUGGUUCUAAUAACUAUCAGAAGUUGAAAAGUGAUGAGCGUAAAUAUUUCAAGAUUAUCCAACUGUUACUGUGACAAGAAAAUGUCUAUUAUUCCUAUUAGUAGAAAUAUGGUUCUGUUAAAUAUGCUUGUGGUUCAUUGCCUACAUUCAUAAUAGAAGGAAAUGAUAAAUUCCAAUUAGAAGUUAGUGAAAAUGAAUAUGUAAUUUCUUUUCCAUUUAAGUUCACAGACCCCUCCCUGAAUUCUAUCCUAAAGUUACUGUAAACUACCAAAGGAGUUGGUUUAUUCAGAUGUAUUCAUACAAAUAUCUCCCUCUCCAUAUCACACUGUAGAAGAUUUCAGUACUGAAGUCAAAAAACCAAAAAAAAAAAAGAAAAAAAAGAAAAAAAAAUCAGAACUCUUUACCCCUCCCCCCCUUCCAGAUGCGUUGUUGACUGGGUAUGAAUGCUGCAGAAGCAGCUGCAGAGGGUUUGGAAGCUGACCCCUGAGGGGUCUGGUUGGAGCCCCUGCCCCCUCCAAGGCACAGGCCUAUAGAGAAAGGGGUCACACAUUUCUUUUGAACUAAUGUCAUCAGCCAGGGUAUGAAGGGACCUCCCUCCACUCUAGGUUAGAGCAAAGUUGAGGAGGAAAAAAUGGAACACAAACUAGGAAUAAAAUGAGAAAAAAGGAACAAGAGGAGAAAAAGAAUCUGGAAACUUCAGACUUGGAACGGAAUAUAAAAAAUGAUCAGUUUAAACUUCUACCUUUUACUGAAACCCUAAGAUAGCCAACCUUUGCUUGCCCACUCUUAUUAGAGACUUGUCUUUGCGAAAGCUCUUUUCAUUUUGCCUGGUUCCCAUGAUUAGUAAGCCCCUUCUUAUAUCAAGACUCUUUUCUUGAACACUUUAGCUUGGAAUAUCUAGAUGGUUUAUUCCCACUUCCCAAAUUCUGAUAACCUCCUGCUGUUUUCUUUGUUCUUUCACUUUGGAGACUGACUUAAUAAAAAGGUCAGUAGAUAAACAGAAUACCUUCAUUUUACCAUUGCCAGUUUGGCAGUUUUCAAGAGCACUUUUA
This is a long non-coding RNA of Neogale vison (American mink), 1821 nucleotides long. RefSeq lists it as uncharacterized. NCBI's taxonomy places the organism in Eukaryota, Metazoa, Chordata, Mammalia, Carnivora, Mustelidae. The transcript has 5 exons. The record is from RefSeq and is a predicted model, not a curated record.